GAGGUACAGCGUAGUUUUGUCCUCCGCGAAGUCCCUCAGGCUCAGAGCACAGCCGUGUAAUUGUCUGCGUCUCUCCCGCGCUCAAUCAGGGGCUUGCUUUGGAACCCCGGUGCCUGCUAGUGUUCUGCAUACAGUGAGCAUCCAAAAAAUGUGUUAAGCAAGUGACUGGAGCCCAAUUCCUGCUGCCGCCAAGGAGUCAGGCCUGCUGGCCCUCUCCCCUUUGCCUCUCCUCUUUUACUAUUACAAAGCUGGCCCUUCAAAGCACAGUGCUCUCUGCAAUACAGAAGCCCUCGCUAUCUCUACAGUGGAGAAAAUGUGCGCCACGGGAAAAGGUCAUAGCAUAGAACAAUCUGAAGAGCACUGGUCUGCAUCCCACUUAGAAACCUCCAACUCCAAAUGUCAAUUUUCCUCCUGAGACAGCAUUUCUGGGCUGCUGCCUCCCGCUCCAGAGAGAUGUGCUUCUGGGAAAGUCAACUACACUGUGCAAGAGGUCUGUGAAAUGUGUCGGCACUUCCAUAAAAUAGAUGUAACUGAGGAUCUUCAGUCGGGCCCUCUUCUCCUGCUUAUUCCUUGGCAAAGAAUUUCUAAGAUCCUCCUCUAGCACCCUGGGCACUCAGGAAGUAAAAGCCACCUUUUUCUAGCCACUAGGGAAGAACAAGGGCUGGUGUUUCCCAGUCUGUCCGGAGAGUGACUCUUUACCCAACACAUGGAAGCUACCUGGAUGCUGAGUGAAGAUAAAUAGUGCCGUCUCCUUGGGUCGUUUAAUUCCAAGCAAGGCCCAUAUUGAUUUUGCCUCUCCCUGUACUAACCUGUUCGGUGAUGUACAGCUGAGGACCAUCUGCAUAACGGAGGGUAUAAUACUCUGGGUUUGGCAACGACCACCUAUGCAAGAGAAAAACAGUAUAUCCCACUUGGCCACUCUCUUGUUCAGAAGCUGCUCAUAAGUAAUUUUCAAAAGAGUUGCUCAAGGGAUUGGGUGGCCUAUUUGGAAUACAGUGGAAACAAAGCUUUAGGUUGUCAUGUUGAAAAAAUCAUGGCCUCAGCCUUUUGUAAAGAUGAGCACCACAAUAGGAGGUGUGCAGAACUGAGGAGGGGUCUCAGAUCCUACCUCAAUAGGGCAAUGCUAGACUUUAAGGAAAAAAUUAAGAAGUAUAAACGUCUUAGGGGUAUGGUUGUCAACUGUACUUCCUUCCCAAGACAAUGAUUCCCAAGACCCCCAUGCUGAGGACCUGCCUAACUGGAGAUCCUUCCCAGAACUCCCCUCAAGGUGUAGGAGUGCUCUUUCAGUCGGAGCUGCCACUGUUGAAAACGAGGUCCAUUUCAACCUACCCAUCACAAACUUCCUUGAUAAUGGAUGCCAGGGGCCGUUUCUGAAAGAGAGAGAGAGAAAGCCUUCAACAGCAGCAACAUCCUACUCAUGCCAAGGUUCUGACAAGAGGCCUGCCAAGCAGGGUCAAGCUGGGGCAUGAGAAUGAACUUCUUUCCUAACAGCUUUUGUUGAAGAGGAAGCCUCUCCCAAGCCAUGGUGACCGACCUUCCCUAGGGUGGGCCAGGCCCAAAGCUUAGCCUUCCUGUUGCUCGUUCUUACUCUUGAUGCCGGUGGUCCCCAUCCCUCAAGAUGUCCUCUGCCAUGCACUCCCCAGGUGCCUUUCCUUGAACCACUGCUUCUCACUUCAGGAGCAUACCUGGUCGAUUUCAAGGAGCUGGGCGUUAGCACCUGGCCACUCAAUGGCCACUUUGACAAUGUCUGACGGUGGUGGCAUCGUUCCCAAUGGGCUCUAAUUCUGCGAGACAAAAACACAGACACGGCUGCCUGGGGAGAAAGAAUCAGAAAGGUGGAAAAAGAGUAUUUCUUCAUUUUUCACUCUUGUUACAUGUUUUGAAGAGUUUGAAGACAGACACUGCAUAAAGUAACACAUGAAACUACCUGGUUUGAAUUUUUCUAGAUCAUACCACAACUUCUGCUUAGGAUUUUGUCUCUUGAGAUUAAAUCAGCAAGAAGAAAUGGGACAAACUAUCUAUCAUCCAUAGAUCAGCCAGUAGCAAGAUAUGCCAAUGUGGCACUUCAGUUUAAGAGUCAAGAAGACUCAGUGGUAGAGGAAUGUAUUUACUGCAAAUUCCUGUCUUGAGACCUUGGGAGGAGAGAAGCAUAUGCUCCGAGACAGAUAAGAAUAGACAGCCUUUUCUUGGUUGAGUGGUUAGCUGGAGGAGCCAGGCUACUUCUUUCUGCAGUCAUCCUAGGAAGAUCCCAGCAUCAGCAGGGCCCAGCUACAUGCUCUCUUGCUUCCUCCCCACUCAUCGAUGCCACCCCUUUCCCCUCAAAGGACACAAUGCAAAGCCUCCUCUGUGUGGGACGACAUCAGAAAAUGGGGAAGAUAACUGGGACAGGAAAUGCUAUUUUCGUCCCUACUGCCAAGGGCAAGGGCGGCUGACAACUCAAGUGGAGAGAGGUAAGGAUAUCCUCACACAAGGGCCCCUCUUAUAAGGACAAGGCUUUGCAAGUACCUCUGACCCCCUCCCCCACUUCUCUCCAAAAUAAAGGAAAAUAAAUCAUCCUGAGCAAGUCUGGAAGAUGGGCCCAUGUGACUGGUAUCCUAGGCAACUCUGAUAGCUUACUGGUAUUCCAAGCAGUAACUAAAGCAUUCUCUCUCCAAGGUCUGACGAAGGGAAGUCACUUGGCUGAUGGAUUAUUUCAAUGUAUAUUUACACUCCUUGCCUACAAGUUCAGGAGAGGCCCCUCUCUUAAUGAAAAAGACCUUUCUGCAUCCUCCAGGUUUAGCCAUUCACCCACAAUUCAUGCCUCGCUAAUGGGGACCACCUGCCUCUCCUGGCGUACAAAGCAUAGCUGUCGCGAGGCUAUUAUGCAUGUAUGCUAUCAAUUUUUCAGCCCAAACACAGAUGUCAGUUCUCACAGCCUGGUAAGUAUAAACCUCUUAGAUGAAAAGGAGUAAAAGUCCUGUCCCCCACAAGCCCAUCGGCCUCAGAAAGAGGGAUGCUUUCAUGACCAUUUCCUAGUCAGAAUGGGAUGCUUCAGAAGUCUACUGUCAUAAAAAGCCAGCAUUUCCAGAACAUGACAAUGUAAAGGAACUAGUUUUCCAAGUGCUUUCACUUAUUUUAUUGUGUCCUCCCAGCAGCCCCACGAAUUAGGCAGAACAGGAUUAUCACCUCCAUUUGAAGAUGGCACAACUAAAGCUCAGUGUUUUGUUAAGUGCCCAAGGUCACCCAGCUAGUAAGUCAUAACGGUUGACAGAACUUGGACUGGCUUCGGCCAAUGCUUUCCCCUUUUCCUUUGAGCCAGCCUCAACUUCUGUCCACUGCAAUUAAACGCAGCCUAAAGGGAUUGAAGUGGGUUGGCCUUAUGGCCCCCAAGGCUUCCAUAACUUCUGCAGCUCAUGGCAGAAUUUUUCACAUGUAAUUUUUAUGUGCCUAGACACACGACAAACCUCAGAAAAGAAACUGGCCCUAUCUGCAUAAUUUCUGGGGAAAAUGCUCUGCUCCAGUUACAGCAAGACAGGGAGUUCUUGUUCUAGGGGUGGCGCCAUCAAUCUCUGGAUGCUUAGAGAUGCAUCCUUAUCCUUAUCGGCAAAGCUGCUGCAAUUAGUAGACAGGACUGCACGGUUGUGAGGUCAAUUUUAAAAACUGAGAUAUAAUUUACAUACAAUAAAAUGCAGAGGGCUUAAGGGUACAUAUGUUUGUAUAUAUAAAUAUACAUCAUAUAAAUAUACACAUGCAUCUCCCUGUAACCAGCACUCAAAACGAGACACUGAACAUUUUCAUCACCCUAGAAAAUUACUUCAUACUUCCUCUUCCCGUCAAUCCUUCCAGUCCUUUAAAGGGGAAUUUCUGACUUAUCAUCAUCCAUGAGUUUUGCCUGGUUUUGUACUUCAUAUAAAUGGAACUAUACGAUAUGACUUUUUAGAUCAUUUGUUUAGUUUGGCUUCUUCUUAUUUUUAAAAUAAGCAGGCACAGAAGGUACAACAGAAAGAACACUGGGCUGGGAUAAUUGUCCCUGCUGAAACAAGUGACUGGAUUUAGAACCAAAGGCCUCAGGACCCAAUCCUAGGUCUUUCACAAUGUAUACAUGGCCCUUUAACCAAAUCUCAGUUUUCUUCUAUUGAAAGAUGUGAGUGUAGAACUAAAGCAUGUCUCAGGUGCCUUCUAAGUCUAAAAGUCCAUGAUUCUUAAGUGGAAUUUAAAAAAUCCAAGUGAGGAUGCCCAUUUUAAAGUCCUUACCAAAUGAAGUUACACCCUUCCUUAAUUUCGAUGGUGCUGCUAAGAAACAAACCCCAUGAUUUUUAACUCCUUUCUGAACGCCGUCUUUGGAGAUUAAGCUAAAGCUCAUUAGGUUAUAGCUAUUAUUUUCUCUUGACCCCAUAUGACAUAUCCUAGAUUGACUCUCUCUUUAUUAAAGUUAGCCCUGAAUGAUUCUCGGCUGUUCAAAAAUUCGUAUACAUUUUAAAGCAUGGAGAUUUGCAACCACCAAACUAUUUGAAAGAUAUUAAUAAGCCCCCAUUCUCAGUGACUCUGUCCUUCCCACAAAGCCCAGGCAGCCUCUCUGAACUGAAUGACACUCUCCACAACCCUGCCAUAGCUGAUGGGACUAAAGUGAAUACCCAACUUUAGCUGAACUAUUCCAGUUCUUUCUCUUGAAUUUAAAAGACAGAGACUGGCUGGGCGUGGUGGCUCAUGUCUAUAAUCGCAGCACUUUGGGAGGCCAAGGUGGGUGGAUCGCCUGAGGUCAGGAGUUUGAGACCACCCUGGCCAACAUGGCAAAACCCCGUCUCUAGUAAAAAUACAAAAAGUAGCCAGGCAUGAUGGUGGGCGCCUGUAAUCCCAACUACUCGGGAGACUGAGGCAGGGAGGACAGCUUGAACCCAGGAGGCGGAGGUUUCAGUGAGCACAGAUUGCACCAUUACGCUCCAGCCUGGGCGACGGAAUGAGACUCCAUCAUAAAUAAAUACACACAUACAUACAUACAAACAAAUAAAAGACACAGACUAAGGGAACUGGGUGAUAAUGACCCUGGAGAAGUAAGAUCAUAGUAAGCUUCAGAGCGAAUACCAUGGCAAGCCAAAGAUCCGUACGAGCCAAAGAUAUGGAGAAUAAAAAACCAAGAGCCUUUCAGAGGAAGUGAUUCUGCAGGAGGAAUCCAUAAAUAUCUAAAUGAACUGAGGCCAGAAAUCAGAAAGAGAUGGAAAAGCCAUUACCUGCUAACUUUCCAGAUUAUGUGGCUAUUACUUCCUAUGCUCGGGGUACCUGAAAGUCCACUGUAUCC
Homo sapiens (human) is the source of this 5275-nucleotide long non-coding RNA. The record is from Ensembl. NCBI's taxonomy places the organism in Eukaryota, Metazoa, Chordata, Mammalia, Primates, Hominidae.